This 449-nucleotide ribosomal RNA is filed under the name uncultured bacterium. RNAcentral describes it as "bacterial SSU rRNA". It matches the Rfam family "Bacterial small subunit ribosomal RNA", at positions 329 to 792 of the family's 1533-position model. The record is from RNAcentral.
GGCCAGACUCCUACGGGAGGCAGCAGUGGGGAAUAUUGGACAAUGGGGGGAACCCUGAUCCGGCGACGCCGCGUGAGUGAAGAAGUAUUUCGGUAUGUAAAGCUCUAUCAGCAGGGAAGAAAGAAAUGACGGUACCUGACUAAGAAGCCCCGGCUAACUACGUGCCAGCAGCCGCGGUAAUACGUAGGGGGCAAGCGUUAUCCGGAUUUACUGGGUGUAAAGGGCGUGUAGGCGGGACUGCAAGUCAGAUGUGAAAAUUAUGGGCUCAACCCAUAACCUGCAUUUGAAACUGUAGUUCUUGAGUGAUGGAGAGGCAGGCGGAAUUCCUAGUGUAGCGGUGAAAUGCGUAGAUAUUAGGAGGAACACCAGUGGCGAAGGCGGCCUGCUGGACGACAACGGACGGUGAGGCGCGAAAGCGUGGGGAGCAAACAGGAUAAGAUACCCCAGUA